Molecule: ribosomal RNA, 426 nt
Filed under: Enterobacter sp. 11-1-2
Lineage: Bacteria; Pseudomonadati; Pseudomonadota; Gammaproteobacteria; Enterobacterales; Enterobacteriaceae
Description: bacterial SSU rRNA
Rfam family: Bacterial small subunit ribosomal RNA
Source: RNAcentral
UGGGCAAACUGGCUGAUGGAGGGGGAUAACUACUGGAAACGGUAGCUAAUACCGCAUAACGUCCCAAGACCAAAGAGGGGGACCUUCGGGCCUCUUGCCAUCGGAUGUGCCCAGAUGGGAUUAGCUAGUAGGUGGGGUAACGGCUCACCUAGGCGACGAUCCCUAGCUGGUCUGAGAGGAUGACCAGCCACACUGGGAACUGAGACACGGUCCAGACUCCUACGGGAGGCAGCAGUGGGGAAUAUUGCACAAUGGGCGCAAGCCUGAUGCAGCCAUGCCGCGUGUAUGAAGAAGGCCUUCGGGUUGUAAAGUACUUUCAGCGGGGAAGGAAGGCGACAGGGGUUAAUAACCCUGUCGAUUGACGUUACCCGCAAAAGAAGCACCGGCUAACUCCGUGCCAGCAGCCGCGGUAAUACGGAGGGUGCA